RNAcentral lists this ribosomal RNA (253 nucleotides) under uncultured bacterium. RNAcentral's name for it is "partial 16S ribosomal RNA". It matches the Rfam family "Bacterial small subunit ribosomal RNA", at positions 524 to 776 of the family's 1533-position model. The record is from RNAcentral.
UACGAAGGUCCCAAGCGUUGUUCGGAAUCACUGGGCGUAAAGGGAGCGUAGGUGGCUUGUCGCGUCUGCCGUGAAAGCCCGUGGCUUAACUACGGGUCUGCGGUGGAUACGGGCAGGCUAGAGGCUGGUAGGGGCAAGCGGAAUUCCUGGUGUAGCGGUGAAAUGCGCAGAUAUCAGGAGGAACACCGGUGGCGAAGGCGGCUUGCUGGGCCAGUUCUGACGCUGAGGAGCGAAAGCGUGGGGAGCGAACAGG